Molecule: long non-coding RNA, 1272 nt
Organism: Sinocyclocheilus rhinocerous
Lineage: Eukaryota; Metazoa; Chordata; Actinopteri; Cypriniformes; Cyprinidae
Exons: 4
Source: RefSeq, a predicted model, not a curated record
AGAGCAAGUCUGUUGAAACUGAAGGGCUCUUGGAUGAAAUGCGGAGCGCCUUGUCCUCGCCCGUCCUGGAUUCUCCAAACAGCAGUGCUGACGUCACUCUGGACACCACUGGCGAGCUCACCGUUGAGGACGUCAAAGACUUCUUAAUGACUGUGGAUGAAGCUGAGAAUAACUACAGGAACAUGACUGAAGAGGAUGGGAGGCCUCCUGGGAUUCUCAUCAACUGAGGCGAGCCGGCAGACAGCUGGAGGAGCAGUUAUGGGUGAAGACUCAUCAGCUGAACUCGUUACUUCUAAUUGGAUCUUGACAGAGCAGUUUGUGACUCCGGAAGUUGCACCAAACAUUGUUCAUGAAGUUUUUACAAUGGGAAUGUUGCACUUUUUCCCCUGUGCCAAAAGUCUAUUAUCCUCGUUUUCUUCACCUUUCCUCCAGUUUUCUUCUCCUUUUUUUUUUUUCCUCUGACAACCGUUGGUUCCUUUGAGGGGCCAUAAAAUGGCACAUUUGAGAGGUGACUUUUAAAGGGAUCAGGCAAUAAAACAGCCGAGAUGUUGCACAAUGUCUGUAUGCAGGUAGGGGGCUACUUGCACUGAGCCCGUGAAGUUUUUCUUCUUCGUUUGUCUUUUAACAUUCCUCUUUUGUCACGUCACCUCUCCUCUCACUGUGUGCCAUUCAUUAGUUUAGGCUAAAUUCCUACAUUUAGAAUACAUAGCUGCUACAGUUCACGAAUCUCGAAGGGUAUUUUGGGGCGACCAACUGCACAACAGAAAAUAACUAUUCAAGCUUAAUUAUGGGAAAAAAAUAUGAAGUGCCCUGCUCAUUUAUGAACGUAUAUUUUUCUGUAUGAAGUGUUUGCUUUUUUCCCCUCCUGACAGCCUUUUCAACAAUAUCUAUGAUACUGUGAUGGUUUCUGACCUCAAAUCGGGAGUCUAUUGAAAAGUUCAAGUUAUGGACCCUGUGGGUUUGAUAGAGAUAUUUUCCUCUCAUUCAGUCGUCUUUAUUAUUAUUUUUUAAUAAUGUCCCUUAACCACUUGCCAUUGUAAGUAAUUCUGGCAGUUAACUGUGAAGUGUGUCAUUUAAAGGAACAUGGUGUGUAACCUUUGAGUAUUCGCCGCAGUCAUUCUAACCAGUUUUUGGCACAGUAUUAACACGGUAUGAAGGAGCUAACGACUUUUUCUAUUUACACAGUAUUCUUUAGAAUAAUUUUAUAUGGCUUAUAAGGGUUGGUAUCUUGUAUUUUAUAGAUAUUUCACUGGCAUUUAAGUAACUAGGCAU